UUUGACUGGGGCGGUCUCCUCCCAAAGCGUAACGGAGGAGCACGAAGGUUAGCUAAUCCUGGUCGGACAUCAGGAGGUUAGUGCAAUGGCAUAAGCUAGCUUGACUGCGAGCGUGACGGCGCGAGCAGGUGCGAAAGCAGGUCAUAGUGAUCCGGUGGUUCUGAAUGGAAGGGCCAUCGCUCAACGGAUAAAAGGUACUCCGGGGAUAACAGGCUGAUACCGCCCAAGAGUUCAUAUCGACGGCGGUGUUUGGCACCUCGAUGUCGGCUCAUCACAUCCUGGGGCUGAAGUAGGUCCCAAGGGUAUGGCUGUUCGCCAUUUAAA
Molecule: ribosomal RNA, 324 nt
Filed under: Klebsiella pneumoniae
Lineage: Bacteria; Pseudomonadati; Pseudomonadota; Gammaproteobacteria; Enterobacterales; Enterobacteriaceae
Description: bacterial LSU rRNA
Rfam family: Bacterial large subunit ribosomal RNA
Source: RNAcentral